This 199-nucleotide ribosomal RNA is filed under the name uncultured bacterium. Its description in RNAcentral is "partial 16S ribosomal RNA". It matches the Rfam family "Bacterial small subunit ribosomal RNA", at positions 328 to 539 of the family's 1533-position model. The record is from RNAcentral.
ACGCUCGACACCUACGGGAGGCAGCAGUGGGGAAUAUUGCACAAUGGGGGAAACCCUGAUGCAGCAACGCCGCGUGAAGGAAGACGGUUUUCGGAUUGUAAACUUCUGUUCUUAGUGAAGAUAGUGACGGUAGCUAAGGAGCAAGCCACGGCUAACUACGUGCUAGCAGCCGCGGUAAUCUGAGGCGGGCUGGCAAGGC